Molecule: ribosomal RNA, 700 nt
Filed under: uncultured bacterium
Lineage: Bacteria
Description: bacterial SSU rRNA
Rfam family: Bacterial small subunit ribosomal RNA
Source: RNAcentral
UCAGGCCUAACACAUGCAAGUCGAACGGUAACAUUUCUAGCUUGCUAGAAGAUGACGAGUGGCGGACGGGUGAGUAAUGCUUGGGAACUUGCCUUUGCGAGGGGGAUAACAGUUGGAAACGACUGCUAAUACCGCAUAAUGUCUACGGACCAAACGGGGCUUCGGCUCCGGCGCAAAGAGAGGCCCAAGUGAGAUUAGCUAGUUGGUAAGGUAACGGCUUACCAAGGCGACGAUCUCUAGCUGUUCUGAGAGGAAGAUCAGCCACACUGGGACUGAGACACGGCCCAGACUCCUACGGGAGGCAGCAGUGGGGAAUAUUGCACAAUGGGGGAAACCCUGAUGCAGCCAUGCCGCGUGUGUGAAGAAGGCCUUCGGGUUGUAAAGCACUUUCAGUUGUGAGGAAAAGUUAGUAGUUAAUACCUGCUAGCCGUGACGUUAACAACAGAAGAAGCACCGGCUAACUCCGUGCCAGCAGCCGCGGUAAUACGGAGGGUGCGAGCGUUAAUCGGAAUUACUGGGCGUAAAGCGCACGCAGGCGGUUUGUUAAGCUAGAUGUGAAAGCCCCGGGCUCAACCUGGGAUGGUCAUUUAGAACUGGCAGACUAGAGUCUUGGAGAGGGGAGUGGAAUUCCAGGUGUAGCGGUGAAAUGCGUAGAUAUCUGGAGGAAAAUCAGUGGGGAAGGCGACUCCCUGGCCAAAGA